UGAGGUGCUUGCACCUCUUGGUUAGCGGCGGACGGGUGAGUAACACGUGGGCAACCUGCCUGUAAGACUGGGAUAACUUCGGGAAACCGGAGCUAAUACCGGAUAAUCCUUUUCCUCUCAUGAGGGAAAGCUGAAAGACGGCGCAAGCUGUCACUUACAGAUGGGCCCGCGGCGCAUUAGCUAGUUGGUGAGGUAACGGCUCACCAAGGCGACGAUGCGUAGCCGACCUGAGAGGGUGAUCGGCCACACUGGGACUGAGACACGGCCCAGACUCCUACGGGAGGCAGCAGUAGGGAAUCUUCCGCAAUGGACGAAAGUCUGACGGAGCAACGCCGCGUGAGCGAUGAAGGCCUUCGGGUCGUAAAGCUCUGUUGUUAGGGAAGAACAAGUACCGGAGUAACUGCCGGUACCUUGACGGUACCUAACCAGAAAGCCACGGCUAACUACGUGCCAGCAGCCGCGGUAAUACGUAGGUGGCAAGCGUUGUCCGGAAUUAUUGGGCGUAAAGCGCGCGCAGGCGGUUCCUUAAGUCUGAUGUGAAAGCCCCCGGCUCAACCGGGGAGGGUCAUUGGAAACUGGGGAACUUGAGUACUGAAGAGGAAAGCGGAAUUCCACGUGUAGCGGUGAAAUGCGUAGAGAUGUGGA
This 645-nucleotide ribosomal RNA is filed under the name Bacillus sp. (in: firmicutes). Its description in RNAcentral is "bacterial SSU rRNA". It matches the Rfam family "Bacterial small subunit ribosomal RNA", at positions 72 to 702 of the family's 1533-position model. The record is from RNAcentral. Lineage: Bacteria; Bacillati; Bacillota; Bacilli; Caryophanales; Bacillaceae.